RNAcentral lists this ribosomal RNA (374 nucleotides) under uncultured bacterium. RNAcentral's name for it is "bacterial SSU rRNA". It matches the Rfam family "Bacterial small subunit ribosomal RNA", at positions 523 to 897 of the family's 1533-position model. The record is from RNAcentral.
AUACGUAGGUGGCAAGCGUUGUCCGGAAUUAUUGGGCGUAAAGCGCGCGCAGGCGGACUGAUCAGUCUGGUCUAAAAGAGCGGGGCUCAGCCCCGUUAGGGGCCGGAAACUGUCAGUCUUGAGUGCCGGAGAGGAAAGUGGAAUUCCCAGUGUAGCGGUGAAAUGCGUAGAGAUUGGGAGGAACACCAGUGGCGAAGGCGACUUUCUGGACGGUGUCUGACGCUGAGGCGCGAAAGCCAGGGGAGCGAACAGGAUUAGAUACCCUGGUAGUCCAUGCCGUAAACGAUGAUUACUAGGUGUGGGGGGUCUGACCCCUUCCGUGCCGGAGUUAACACAAUAAGUAAUUCACCUGGGAAGUACGACCGCAAGGUUGA